RNAcentral lists this ribosomal RNA (402 nucleotides) under uncultured bacterium. RNAcentral describes it as "bacterial SSU rRNA". It matches the Rfam family "Bacterial small subunit ribosomal RNA", at positions 917 to 1322 of the family's 1533-position model. The record is from RNAcentral.
GGGCCCGCACAAGCGGUGGAGCAUGUGGUUUAAUUCGAUGAUACGCGAGGAACCUUACCAGGGCUUAAAUGUAGGUUGCAUUAGCUAGAGAUAGUUAUUUCUUCGGACUACUUACAAGGUGCUGCAUGGUUGUCGUCAGCUCGUGCCGUGAGGUGUCAGGUUAAGUCCUAUAACGAGCGCAACCCCUGUCGUUAGUUGCCAUCAAGUAAAGUUGGGGACUCUAACGAGACUGCCGGUGCAAACCGAGAGGAAGGUGGGGAUGACGUCAAAUCAUCACGGCCCUUACGUCCUGGGCUACACACGUGCUACAAUGGUAGUGACAGAGAGCAGCCACUGGGUAACCAGGAGCGAAUCUACAAACACUAUCACAGUUCGGAUCGGAGUCUGCAACUCGACUCCGUG